GUGUACCCGCGGCUAGACGGAAAGACCCCGUGAACCUUUACUAUAGCUUGACACUGAACAUUGAGCCUUGAUGUGUAGGAUAGGUGGGAGGCUUUGAAGCGUGGACGCCAGUCUGCGUGGAGCCAACCUUGAAAUACCACCCUUUAAUGUUUGAUGUUCUAACGUUGGCCCCUGACCGGGGUUGCGGACAGUGUCUGGUGGGUAGUUUGACUGGGGCGGUCUCCUCCCAAAGCGUAACGGAGGAGCACGAAGGUUAGCUAAUCCUGGUCGGACAUCAGGAGGUUAGUGCAAUGGCAUAAGCU
This 302-nucleotide ribosomal RNA is filed under the name Acinetobacter baumannii. Its description in RNAcentral is "partial 23S ribosomal RNA". It matches the Rfam family "Bacterial large subunit ribosomal RNA", at positions 2064 to 2365 of the family's 2925-position model. Lineage: Bacteria; Pseudomonadati; Pseudomonadota; Gammaproteobacteria; Moraxellales; Moraxellaceae. The record is from RNAcentral.